AGGGUUAUAGUUAAUUAUAACAUUUAAUUUGCAUUUAAAAAGUAUUGAAACUUCAAUUUACCUUA
RNAcentral lists this transfer RNA (65 nucleotides) under Anopheles cruzii. RNAcentral describes it as "tRNA-Ala". The record is from RNAcentral. Lineage: Eukaryota; Metazoa; Arthropoda; Insecta; Diptera; Culicidae.